GGUAUUGUUUGCCCCACAGUAAGCCCCGUUAAUCUUAUUGUAUGUCAAACAUGUA
This is a regulatory RNA element of 55 nucleotides. It matches the Rfam family "Ribosomal protein L13 leader". From Rfam's summary of the family: This family is a putative r-protein leader autoregulatory structure found in B. subtilis and other low-GC Gram-positive bacteria. The record is from Rfam.